ACACACACACACACACACACAUGGCUCAGGAAGAGCCAGUAACUAUCUUGGUAUAGUUACUGCAUGCCACACUCUUGACUCUGUUAGAUCCUCCAGAACGAGCACGUGGGGCUAGCUGGACUCUGAUUCCUUUAUGCAACAUUUACUCAUUGCACACCUACUGUGUGCCAGGGAGGGCGGAGGAUAAAGACCCAGUCCUAGAGAAUUCAAAGUAUAAGGGGAGAGGCAGACAAUUAAAUAAUCUUCAUCAAAGCCAUUUUUUCAAGCAAAAUGAAAGAAGUCUAAUUAUUAUGCUAACAUUUAUAUAGCAUUAUUGUGCACUCUCUCAAUUUCUUUACAUGUGAAAUGGGAACUAUAAUUAUACUACUUCCUAUGACCGUUGAGUUGAACUUUGUAAAGAAUGAUGUCUAGGCUGGCAUACAGUAAGCACUUCAUACUUAAACGUUUAUCACCCAUCACUUUAUAUCGGGUUCUGUUAACGACUCUGGAGCAGGGUGUCCAAUUAAUUGCAAGUCCCAUUCAAAGCAAGCAUUAAUGAAGACAAGAUCUCCCUGUGCUGCUCAGACUGGUCUCAAAUUCCUGACCUCAAAUGAUACUCCUGCUGCAGCCUCCCUCUCGCUCCCAAUACCUGGGGCAACACAUGCACCACCUAUAAGCUCCAUUUCGCAGAUAAGAAAAUGCAACGAAGGCAAAGGCCAUUGUAGUAUUUAAUGCCUUUAAUUCCAGCACUCUGAGAGGCUGAGACAGGAGGAUCUUUGUGAAUUCCAGGCCAGCUUAAUUAACUACACUGCAAGUCCCAGGACAGCCUGGGCGACUUAGUCU
RNAcentral lists this long non-coding RNA (822 nucleotides) under Mus musculus (house mouse). Its description in RNAcentral is "long non-coding RNA chr2:152091865-152092687". Lineage: Eukaryota; Metazoa; Chordata; Mammalia; Rodentia; Muridae. The record is from RNAcentral.